Molecule: ribosomal RNA, 94 nt
Filed under: Gorilla gorilla gorilla (western lowland gorilla)
Lineage: Eukaryota; Metazoa; Chordata; Mammalia; Primates; Hominidae
Source: RNAcentral
GUCUAUGGCCAUACCACCCUGAACGCGUCCAAUCUCGCCUGAUCUCUCGAAGCUAAGUAGGGUCAGGCCUGGUUAGUACUUAACUGGGAGACCG